Molecule: long non-coding RNA, 1770 nt
Organism: Mustela lutreola (European mink)
Lineage: Eukaryota; Metazoa; Chordata; Mammalia; Carnivora; Mustelidae
Exons: 2
Source: RefSeq, a predicted model, not a curated record
UAUUUUUAAUAAUGUAAAACCAGGAAAAGGAAAAAAAAAAAAAAAACAAUCCUAAGAGCAGGAGAGAAGUUAAACUGUAGCACACUAGCAUAAUGAAUUAUAAAUACAGAACAUAAAAUUGUGUUUAAGAAAUCAUCAUAACAGAUGGAGAAAAUCUCAUCCUUUCAUGUUACAAGAAAGGGUAAAAUUCAUCAUUGUAAAUACACUAUAAUCUGAAUCAUGGGGGAAACAGACAAGAAUCUGAAAGGAAAUGCAUCAAACUAUUAACAGUUCUGGCCUUAAAGCUGAGACUUAGGGAGCUUUUGGAGAGGGUCCAACUUCACAAUGUCCCUGGGAAGGAAGGCCAUGCAGAACCCUUUGAAUUUACUUCCACAAAUAUUUCUUGAGUACCUACUUUGUACCAGGGGCCAUGGCAGGUACAGAGAUGAAUGAAGAAGAAAGAGAAAGUAUCAUUUGUUGAGAUUCUGCUGUGCUAAGCAACAUGCCAAUACCUUGUUGGGAACAUUGAAGUGUUUCAGCUCAUUUCAUUUCCAUAACAACCUCCCAAAGCAUCACUAUCACAAACACAGCCAAGAAAACUGAGGCUCAGGGAGGUUACAUGACUUGCAGACUCACUCAUCUGGUGAUUACUGGAGCUGGAAUUUGAAUCCUGUCUGACUCAAAGCCCAUCGUGUUUCAAUGCACCAUGACAGAAAACCAAAUUAGAAGUAUGCUUCAUAGGAAAGUGGGAAGAGGGUCCUGGGAAAUUAGGAGUCAGAGUACUUCCCAGCAAGCUGUGUGAAAGUGGGCCGGUUAUCCACUCUUAGUUACCCACUCUUAGCUUCACCAGCCUAGUCACGGGCUAAUACCUACCUUGCAGGGCUAUUGCAAGGAUUAAAGAAGAUAUGUGUAAAGCACCUAGCACAUGGGAGUCUAUAAAAAAACCUUAUUUUAUUCACAUCCAUGUAAAUUACCAUUUCUCAAAGAGGUAGGAGUCAUUUCCCUACACAUUGAAUUCUCAGAGCUUACAUUGGGUACAAAUUUUGAAAUCUAGGGUCAAAGUUAACAAGAUUUUGUUAUUUUGUUAUAUGGCUUUGAGAAAGUAUAUGGUUAUCUCAAGAAUCUCCGGAAAGUCUUCAAGAAGAGAAAAUCCCAAACCAGAGGAAAGUUCAAGGACUUGCUUUCCUACUCUCAAGUCCUCCUUCAGCCGAACUGCUGGUCAGGAAUGACAAGAGGACUCACCAUUGUUGAGUCUGCUCCUGAUUGUGCAUGAAAAGUGAUAACUACCAGGUCUGGCCCCCUGGAAUUGCCACAGCAUCUGCAGUGAGAGGAAGGCCAUUAUCUAAACUGCCUGGAAUCCCACAGCAAAUCUCUACAGAAGGGCACAAAGGUAUACCGGUUCAGGCUUCUGUUGGUCUCUGGGGGGAAGCUGACUUUGUUCCUUAAUGCCGUGACAAAUGUGUCCUUGAAUGAGGGAAUUGGCAAGACACCUCUCUCUGCACUGAAACCUGAUUGAAAGCAAGUCCAACCCCUCUGUUCUCUCAGGAGUCCCCACAGUUUCUAAGCUGGUUAGUCCUUUGUGAUUCAGCAAUUUCUAUGACAGGAAGACACCAUCUUUGUUUCUUCUAGAGAUAAUCUAUCCAUGGUGCAGCAUGAACCCUCAAGGACCGGGCUGCCUCCCAAAUAGGGAAGGAUCAUUGCCUGAAUGGAAGGACUUGAGAGAAACUGAAGAUGCAUCCCCAUGACACCCCAAGCAACCCCCCACCGCCACCCAAUAAACUUGUUUUCUUA